UACGGGGGGAGCAAGCGUUGUUCGGAUUUACUGGGCGUAAAGGGCGCGUAGGCGGCGUGACAAGUCACUUGUGAAAUCUCCGGGCUUAACUCGGGGCGGUCAAGUGAUACUGUCGUGCUAGAGUGCGGAAGGGGCUACUGGAAUUCUCGGUGUAGCGGUGAAAUGCGUAGAUAUCGAGAGGAACACCUGCGGCGAAGGCGGGUAGCUGGGCCGACACUGACGCUGAUGCGCGAAAGCCAGGGGAGCGAACGGG
Molecule: ribosomal RNA, 253 nt
Filed under: uncultured bacterium
Lineage: Bacteria
Description: partial 16S ribosomal RNA
Rfam family: Bacterial small subunit ribosomal RNA
Source: RNAcentral